Molecule: unclassified non-coding RNA, 2333 nt
Filed under: Hevea brasiliensis (rubber tree)
Lineage: Eukaryota; Viridiplantae; Streptophyta; Magnoliopsida; Malpighiales; Euphorbiaceae
Source: RNAcentral
GGAAAGCUUAGUGUUUGUUUCACUAGCGGCGGCGCCGUGGAGGGUCGUCGCCGGAAAGAUUUUCCUCUCAUGAUUUCUGACCCACUUGAAGAUUUGGGUCAUUCUUUUUGUUAUGUUCGACCCGAUCAGACCCGGAUUUCAUCUUCCAAAGUUCACUCGGAGGAAACCACAACUUUCCGGUCAAUCUCCGGCGCCUCUGUUAGCGCCAACACUUCUACGCCGCUCUCCACUGCUUUUGUCGAUCUGUAUUCUUACAAUAGUAUCGAUCGGUCUUCGGCCUUCGAGGGGUCUACUUCUUUUGCUUCAAUACCCCUUCAACCUAUUCCCAGAAACUCUUCAAUUUACUCCGGCCCGCUUUUCAGUUCGGGUCUUGUUCCGGCUUCGGGCCCUACGGAACGUGGGUUCAUGUCCGGCCCGAUUGAGAGGGGAUUUCAAUCGGGGCCGCUUGAUCGUGGUCUUUAUUCGGGCCCUCUUGAUAGGGGCUGUUCUGAUCAGUUUCAGAGAAGCUAUUCACAUGGUUUUGCUCUUCGAUCCAGAUCAAGAAAAGGGUCAUUCUUUCGGGUUCUACAAAGAGCUAUAUCAAAGACCUUAUCAAGAGGUCAAAAUUCUAUUGUUGCACCGAUUAAAGGAUCAAUUUCAGUAAAAGAAAGUGAUUGGGUUGUGGGUGCUGAAAAGCAGAACGAAUUGACUAUUAGCAGUGUGAAUUUCAGCAGUGAGUGUAGUUUGGAUGAUGAUGACACUUUAGAUAAUCAGAAUGUUCAGUGGGCUCAAGGUAAAGCCGGUGAAGAUCGUGUUCAUGUCGUAGUUUCUGAGGAACAUGGUUGGGUUUUUGUAGGGAUUUAUGAUGGAUUCAAUGGUCCUGAUGCACCUGAUUUCUUGGUAUCAAAUUUGUACCCUGCUGUUCACAAAGAGCUCAAAGGAUUGUUAUGGGAUGACAAAUUAGAUAAUAAUUCCUCUGUUACGAUCCCAUCUCCGAGUUUGGCCGUGGAAGAAUCUAAUCAGACUAUUGACGAUGAAUUCUUAAGGGAUAGUUGUUCAAGAUGUGUUGAGCAAGAGAAUUAUCCUUCAGCAAGGGAGGAUCUUUCUUCCGAUUCGCGGUUAAAGAAAAAGAGGGGAAAAGGUUCAAAGAACAGGUACAGAGGAGUAUCAAAGAAAUGGGAAGAGAAUCAGAGGCGAUGGCGAUGCGAAUGGGACAGGGAAAGAUUAGAACUUGAUAGGAGAUUGAAGGAACAGCUGAAUGGAAAUGGUUCAAAUGGAUCAGGAUCAGUUAAUCAUGCUGAUGUAUUAAAAGCUCUUUCUCAAGCAUUGAAGAAAACAGAGGAGGCAUAUUUGGAUCUAGCUGAUAGGAUGAAUAUGGAGAACCCUGAAUUGGCUUUGAUGGGUUCUUGUGUUCUUGUUAUGUUAAUGAAAGGAGAGGAUGUUUAUGUGAUGAAUGUAGGCGAUAGUCGAGCCGUGUUAGCUCAGAAGAAAGAGCCUAAUCUAUGGAGUCAAGAUUUGGAAAGGAUCAAUGAAGAAACAUUGAAAGAUCUUGAACUUUUCGAUGGCGAUGAGUCGGAUUGUGUACCUAAUUUAACUGCUUUCCAGCUUAGUAUAGAUCAUAGCACCUCCGUGGAAGAGGAAGUUCAAAGAAUAAAAAGUGAACAUCCAGAUGAUCCAUGUGCCCUAAUGAAUGACCGUGUUAAAGGUUCAUUGAAGGUUACUAGGGCUUUUGGUGCUGGUUUCCUCAAACAGCCUAAAUGGAACAAUGCACUACUUGAGAUGUUCAGAAUCGACUAUAUUGGAACUUCCCCCUACAUCAACUGCCUUCCGUCUCUCUAUCAUCACAGGUUAGGGCCAAGAGACAGGUUUUUGAUACUGUCAUCCGAUGGGCUCUACCAGUACUUCACAAACGAAGAAGCUGUAUUAGAAGUCGAACAUUUUAUCUCAUGGUCACCAGACGGAGAUCCAGCACAACAUCUCAUCGAGACAGUAUUGUUUCGUGCUGCAAAAAAAGCUGGUAUGGAGUUCCAUGAGUUGCUUGAAAUUCCACAAGGGGAUCGACGUCGAUACCAUGAUGAUGUUUCAAUAAUUGUUAUUUCUUUGGAGGGAAGAAUAUGGAGAUCCAGUGCAUAAGUAGGGAAAAAAAAUUUAAAGAGUUAUAGACCUAUUCAAAGAAAAAUCAAACAUCCAAUUUUUGUUCUUUCCUAAAUCACCAUUUUUGUAAAUAGCAACUAAGCCCUGGAACCAGUGUUACUUAGUUGUAAAAUGUACCGUGUGUGAUGGAUGGAAUUGUAAAGGUGUUAGAAAAACAACUCCUUUAUCAGUUUAUAAGCUGUCAUAGUAAGUGUAAUUUU